This 458-nucleotide ribosomal RNA is filed under the name uncultured bacterium. RNAcentral describes it as "partial 16S ribosomal RNA". It matches the Rfam family "Bacterial small subunit ribosomal RNA", at positions 338 to 795 of the family's 1533-position model. The record is from RNAcentral.
CCUACGGGUGGCAGCAGUGAGGAAUAUUGGUCAAUGGCCGGAAGGCUGAACCAGCCAUGCCGCGUGAAGGUCAGUGCCCUAUGGGCGUUAAACUUCUUUUGUGCGGGAGCAAUAAUGGUCACGUGUGGCCAGUCGAGAGUACCGUACGAAUAAGCAUCGGCUAACUCCGUGCCAGCAGCCGCGGUAAUCCGGGGGAUGCAAGCGUUGUCCGGAAUUACUGGGUGUAAAGGGAGCGUAGGGGGGCGAGAAAGUUGAUUGUUAAAUCUACCGGGUUAACUGGUAGCUGCGUUCAAAACUUGUUGUCUUGAGUGAAGUAGAGGCAGGCGGAAUUCGUGGUGUAGCGGUGAAAUGCGUAGAUAUUAGGAGGAACACCAGUGGCGAAGGCAGCCUGCUAAGCUUUAACUGACGCUGAGGCUCGAAAGCGUGGGGAGCAAACAGGAUUAGAUACCCUGGUAGUC